GACGAACGCUGGCGGCGUGCUUAACACAUGCAAGUCGAACGGAAAGGCCCUGCUUUUGUGGGGUGCCCGAGUGGCGAACGGGUGAGUAACCCGUGAGUAACCUGCCCUUGACUUUGGGAUAACUUCAGGCAACUGGGGCUAAUACCGGCUAGGAGCUCCUGCUGCAUGGUGGGGGUUGGAAAGUUUCGGCGGUUGGGGAUGGACUCGCGGCUUAUCAGCUUGUUGGUGGGGUAGUGGCUUACCAAGGCUUUGACGGGUAGCCGGCCUGAGAGGGUGACCGGCCACAUUGGGACUGAGAUACGGCCCAGACUCCUACGGGAGGCAGCAGUGGGGAAUAUUGCACAGUGGGCGGAAGCCUGAUGCAGCAACGCCGCGUGCGGGAUGACGGCCUUCGGGUUGUAAACCGCUUUCGCCUGUGACGAAGCGUGAGUGACGGUAAUGGGUAAAGAAGCACCGGCUAACUACGUG
RNAcentral lists this ribosomal RNA (468 nucleotides) under uncultured bacterium. RNAcentral's name for it is "partial 16S ribosomal RNA". It matches the Rfam family "Bacterial small subunit ribosomal RNA", at positions 28 to 507 of the family's 1533-position model. The record is from RNAcentral.